RNAcentral lists this ribosomal RNA (253 nucleotides) under uncultured bacterium. RNAcentral's name for it is "partial 16S ribosomal RNA". It matches the Rfam family "Bacterial small subunit ribosomal RNA", at positions 524 to 776 of the family's 1533-position model. The record is from RNAcentral.
UACGUAGGGGGCAAGCGUUGUCCGGAAUCAUUUGGCGUAAAGAGCGCGUAGGCGGUCCGGUAAGUCCGCUCUGAAAGUCCGGGGCUCAACCCCGGGAGGCGGGCGGAUACUGUCGGGCUAGAGUCCGGAAGAGGCGAGUGGAAUUCCUGGUGUAGCGGUGAAAUGCGCAGAUAUCAGGAGGAACACCAAUGGCGAAGGCAGCUCGCUGGGACGGUACUGACGCUGAGGCGCGAAAGCGUGGGGAGCAAACAGG